Long non-coding RNA from Hippoglossus stenolepis (Pacific halibut), 316 nucleotides. RefSeq lists it as uncharacterized. The record is from RefSeq and is a predicted model, not a curated record. Lineage: Eukaryota; Metazoa; Chordata; Actinopteri; Pleuronectiformes; Pleuronectidae. The transcript is spliced from 4 exons.
UAGCCACCACGGAACAGAUCUGAGUGAUGACUAAACCCGUCCCAGAAGUUUGGAGAUGCUGUUUCACUUUCCAGUGUCGGCCACAGGUGUCUGACUGUGCUGCAGGUCACUUGACUUCUACGGCCUCAUCUUUGGAUUGAUGUCCUGAUUACUGUGGAAUAUCUGAGUCUGGACUGAACCUGGGCCUGGAAGGAUCUGCCAUGUGUUCUGCCUUCAAAGUCUCUGCAGUUAUAAAAAGUCCUCUACAGCUCAGAAUUGUAUUCAUGUAAAGUGUAUUGUAAAAUCCAGCACUUCCCAUUAAAAUUACUCCAACUAA